This 443-nucleotide ribosomal RNA is filed under the name uncultured bacterium. RNAcentral describes it as "partial 16S ribosomal RNA". It matches the Rfam family "Bacterial small subunit ribosomal RNA", at positions 338 to 795 of the family's 1533-position model. The record is from RNAcentral.
CCUACGGGAGGCAGCAGUGGGGAAUAUUGCACAAUGGGCGAAAGCCUGAUGCAGCAACGCCGCGUGAAGGAAGACGGUCCUCGGAUCGUAAACUUCUAUCAACAGGGAAGAAAGAAAUGACGGUACCUAAAUAAGAAGCCCCGGCUAACUACGUGCCAGCAGCCGCGGUAAUACGUAGGGGGCAAGCGUUAUCCGGAAUUACUGGGUGUAAAGGGGGAGUAGGCGGCAAGGUAAGCGAUAUGUGAAAGCCUUAAGCUUAACUAAAGGAUUGCAUAACGAACUAUCUGGCUAGAGUACAGGAGAGGAAGGCGGAAUUCCUAGUGUAGCGGUGAAAUGCGUAGAUAUUAGGAAGAACACCAGUGGCGAAGGCGGCUUUCUGGACUGAAACUGACGCUGAGGCUCGAAAGCGUGGGGAGCGAACAGGAUUAGAUACCCCUGUAGUC